GGUUAAGCGACUAAGCGUACACGGUGGAUGCCCUGGCAGUCAGAGGCGAUGAAGGGCGUGCUAAUCUGCGAUAAGCGCCGGUAAGGUGAUAUGAACCGUUAUAACCGGCGAUACCCGAAUGGGGAAACCCAGUGUGACUCGUCACACUAUCAUUAACUGAAUCCAUAGGUUAAUGAGGCGAACCGGGGGAACUGAAACAUCUAAGUACCCCGAGGAAAAGAAAUCAACCGAGAUUCCCCCAGUAGCGGCGAGCGAACGGGGAGGAGCCCAGAGCCUGAAUCAGCAUGUGUGUUAGUGGAAGCGUCUGGAAAGGCGCGCGAUACAGGGUGACAGCCCCGUACACAAAAGCGCAUGUGCUGUGAGCUCGAUGAGUAGGGCGGGACACGUGGUAUCCUGUCUGAAUAUGGGGGGACCAUCCUCCAAGGCUAAAUACUCCUGACUGACCGAUAGUGAACCAGUACCGUGAGGGAAAGGCGAAAAGAACCCCGGCGAGGGGAGUGAAAAAGAACCUGAAACCGUGUACGUACAAGCAGUGGGAGCACAGGUUUACCUGUGUGACUGCGUACCUUUUGUAUAAUGGGUCAGCGACUUAUAUUCUGUAGCAAGGUUAACCGAAUAGGGGAGCCGUAGGGAAACCGAGUCUUAACCGGGCGUUAAGUUGCAGGGUAUAGACCCGAAACCCGGUGAUCUAGCCAUGGGCAGGUUGAAGGUUGGGUAACACUAACUGGAGGACCGAACCGACUAAUGUUGAAAAAUUAGCGGAUGACCUGUGGCUGGGGGUGAAAGGCCAAUCAAACCGGGAGAUAGCUGGUUCUCCCCGAAAGCUAUUUAGGUAGCGCCUCGUGAACUCAUCUCCGGGGGUAGAGCACUGUUUCGGCUAGGGGGCCAUCCCGGCUUACCAACCCGAUGCAAACUGCGAAUACCGGAGAAUGUUAUCACGGGAGACACACGGCGGGUGCUAACGUCCGUCGUGAAGAGGGAAACAACCCAGACCGCCAGCUAAGGUCCCAAAGUCAUGGUUAAGUGGGAAACGAUGUGGGAAGGCCCAGACAGCCAGGAUGUUGGCUUAGAAGCAGCCAUCAUUUAAAGAAAGCGUAAUAGCUCACUGGUCGAGUCGGCCUGCGCGGAAGAUGUAACGGGGCUAAACCAUGCACCGAAGCUGCGGCAGCGACACUGUGUGUUGUUGGGUAGGGGAGCGUUCUGUAAGCCUGUGAAGGUGGCCUGUGAGGGUUGCUGGAGGUAUCAGAAGUGCGAAUGCUGACAUAAGUAACGAUAAAGCGGGUGAAAAGCCCGCUCGCCGGAAGACCAAGGGUUCCUGUCCAACGUUAAUCGGGGCAGGGUGAGUCGACCCCUAAGGCGAGGCCGAAAGGCGUAGUCGAUGGGAAACGGGUUAAUAUUCCCGUACUUGGUGUUACUGCGAAGGGGGGACGGAGAAGGCUAUGUUGGCCGGGCGACGGUUGUCCCGGUUUAAGCGUGUAGGUGUGUGUUCCAGGUAAAUCCGGUUCACUUUAACACUGAGGCGUGACGACGAGGCACUACGGUGCUGAAGCAACAAAUGCCCUGCUUCCAGGAAAAGCCUCUAAGCAUCAGGUAACAUCAAAUCGUACCCCAAACCGACACAGGUGGUCAGGUAGAGAAUACCAAGGCGCUUGAGAGAACUCGGGUGAAGGAACUAGGCAAAAUGGUGCCGUAACUUCGGGAGAAGGCACGCUGACACGUAGGUGAAGUGAUUUACUCAUGGAGCUGAAGUCAGUCGAAGAUACCAGCUGGCUGCAACUGUUUAUUAAAAACACAGCACUGUGCAAACACGAAAGUGGACGUAUACGGUGUGACGCCUGCCCGGUGCCGGAAGGUUAAUUGAUGGGGUCAGCGCAAGCGAAGCUCCUGAUCGAAGCCCCGGUAAACGGCGGCCGUAACUAUAACGGUCCUAAGGUAGCGAAAUUCCUUGUCGGGUAAGUUCCGACCUGCACGAAUGGCGUAAUGAUGGCCAGGCUGUCUCCACCCGAGACUCAGUGAAAUUGAACUCGCUGUGAAGAUGCAGUGUACCCGCGGCAAGACGGAAAGACCCCGUGAACCUUUACUAUAGCUUGACACUGAACAUUGAGCCUUGAUGUGUAGGAUAGGUGGGAGGCUUUGAAGUGUGGACGCCAGUCUGCAUGGAGCCGGCCUUGAAAUACCACCCUUUAAUGUUUGAUGUUCUAACGUGGACCCGUAAUCCGGGUUGCGGACAGUGUCUGGUGGGUAGUUUGACUGGGGCGGUCUCCUCCUAAAGAGUAACGGAGGAGCACGAAGGUUGGCUAAUCCUGGUCGGACAUCAGGAGGUUAGUGCAAUGGCAUAAGCCAGCUUGACUGCGAGCGUGACGGCGCGAGCAGGUGCGAAAGCAGGUCAUAGUGAUCCGGUGGUUCUGAAUGGAAGGGCCAUCGCUCAACGGAUAAAAGGUACUCCGGGGAUAACAGGCUGAUACCGCCCAAGAGUUCAUAUCGACGGCGGUGUUUGGCACCUCGAUGUCGGCUCAUCACAUCCUGGGGCUGAAGUAGGUCCCAAGGGUAUGGCUGUUCGCCAUUUAAAGUGGUACGCGAGCUGGGUUUAGAACGUCGUGAGACAGUUCGGUCCCUAUCUGCCGUGGGCGCUGGAGAACUGAGGGGGGCUGCUCCUAGUACGAGAGGACCGGAGUGGACGCAUCACUGGUGUUCGGGUUGUCAUGCCAAUGGCACUGCCCGGUAGCUAAAUGCGGAAGAGAUAAGUGCUGAAAGCAUCUAAGCACGAAACUUGCCCCGAGAUGAGUUCUCCCUGAGACUUAGAGUCUCCUGAAGGAACGUUGAAGACGACGACGUUGAUAGGCCGGGUGUGUAAGCGCAGCGAUGCGUUGAGCUAACCGGUACUAAUGAACCGUGAGGCUUAACCUU
This 2907-nucleotide ribosomal RNA is filed under the name Salmonella enterica subsp. enterica serovar Newport. RNAcentral's name for it is "23S ribosomal RNA". It matches the Rfam family "Bacterial large subunit ribosomal RNA". The record is from RNAcentral. Lineage: Bacteria; Pseudomonadati; Pseudomonadota; Gammaproteobacteria; Enterobacterales; Enterobacteriaceae.